This is a non-coding RNA of Scytonema tolypothrichoides VB-61278, 115 nucleotides long. The record is from Rfam. NCBI's taxonomy places the organism in Bacteria, Bacillati, Cyanobacteriota, Cyanophyceae, Nostocales, Scytonemataceae.
GCGUGUGUGAGUUGCGCGGUGGAACCACCCCGUCCCAUCCCGAACCGGGUCGUGAAACGCCGCAGCGCCGAUGCUACUGGGGUUUGAGCCCUGGGAACGUAGGUCCACGCACGCU